This 1447-nucleotide ribosomal RNA is filed under the name uncultured organism. RNAcentral describes it as "16S ribosomal RNA". It matches the Rfam family "Bacterial small subunit ribosomal RNA". The record is from RNAcentral.
GAACGCUAGCUACAGGCUUAACACAUGCAAGUCGAGGGGCAUCAGGAAGAAAGCUUGCUUUCUUUGCUGGCGACCGGCGCACGGGUGAGUAACACGUAUCCAACCUGCCCUUUACUCGGGGAUAGCCUUUCGAAAGAAAGAUUAAUACCCGAUAGCAUAAUGAUUCCGCAUGGUUUCAUUAUUAAAGGAUUCCGGUAAAGGGUGGGGAUGCGUUCCAUUAGGUUGUUGGUGAGGUAACGGCCCACCAAGCCUUCGAUGGAUAGGGGUUCUGAGAGGAAGGUCCCCCACAUUGGAACUGAGACACGGUCCAAACUCCUACGGGAGGCAGCAGUGAGGAAUAUUGGUCAAUGGGCGCUAGCCUGAACCAGCCAAGUAGCGUGAAGGAUGAAGGCUCUAUGGGUCGUAAACUUCUUUUAUAUAAGAAUAAAGUGCAGUAUGUAUACUGUUUUGUAUGUAUUAUAUGAAUAAGGAUCGGCUAACUCCGUGCCAGCAGCCGCGGUAAUACGGAGGAUCCGAGCGUUAUCCGGAUUUAUUGGGUUUAAAGGGAGCGUAGGUGGACUGGUAAGUCAGUUGUGAAAGUUUGCGGCUCAACCGUAAAAUUGCAGUUGAUACUGUCAGUCUUGAGUACAGUAGAGGUGGGCGGAAUUCGUGGUGUAGCGGUGAAAUGCUUAGAUAUCACGAAGAACUCCGAUUGCGAAGGCAGCUCACUGGACUGCAACUGACACUGAUGCUCGAAAGUGUGGGUAUCAAACAGGAUUAGAUACCCUGGUAGUCCACACAGUAAACGAUGAAUACUCGCUGUUUGCGAUAUACAGUAAGCGGCCAAGCGAAAGCAUUAAGUAUUCCACCUGGGGAGUACGCCGGCAACGGUGAAACUCAAAGGAAUUGACGGGGGCCCGCACAAGCGGAGGAACAUGUGGUUUAAUUCGAUGAUACGCGAGGAACCUUACCCGGGCUUAAAUUGCAGUGGAAUGAUGUGGAAACAUGUCAGUGAGCAAUCACCGCUGUGAAGGUGCUGCAUGGUUGUCGUCAGCUCGUGCCGUGAGGUGUCGGCUUAAGUGCCAUAACGAGCGCAACCCUUAUCUUUAGUUACUAACAGGUUAUGCUGAGGACUCUAGAGAGACUGCCGUCGUAAGAUGUGAGGAAGGUGGGGAUGACGUCAAAUCAGCACGGCCCUUACGUCCGGGGCUACACACGUGUUACAAUGGGGGGUACAGAAGGCAGCUAGCGGGUGACCGUAUGCUAAUCCCAAAAUCCUCUCUCAGUUCGGAUCGAAGUCUGCAACCCGACUUCGUGAAGCUGGAUUCGCUAGUAAUCGCGCAUCAGCCACGGCGCGGUGAAUACGUUCCCGGGCCUUGUACACACCGCCCGUCAAGCCAUGGGAGCCGGGGGUACCUGAAGUACGUAACCGCAAGGAUCGUCCUAGGGUAAAACUGGUGACUGGGGC